GUGAAUGUUGGAUGUGUAAAGAAAUGAUAUUGCAGAACAAGAGUAUGACUCACUCAUGGUCAAGCAAAACAGAAACUAAGAUCUGUGGCCACCUCGCUUCUAGGGUAGACGAAGGUCUUCAAGAACUUUGCCAGCCAAAGCCCCAGCAUCAUCUCAGCGAUGGCAGCUCCCCACACUGGCUGUCACCCAGAGGUCUCUGCCUCCUGAAUUGCCGUGGAGCUUUCUGCCACAGCCUGUCCAAACUCUCUCAGCAUCUUUAUCCAAGAGGCUGACUGGGUCCCAUUUCUCCAGCAAAGUCACAGACAGCAACAGUUAUCGUUAUUUCUUGGUAGACAUGAUCAGGAAUUGAAUCGCUGGCUGACCGCACAAAUAAGUGAGCCAGAGCCUCCUGAAAGUUUGUGCUCUCUGCACUCUUACAUCACCGAAAUCUCCCUUUCUUGCUCUUCCAUUCAGCUGUGACAACAUCCUGAAGUCCUGGCAUAUUCCCCUGUCCUGAAACCACAGAGAACAAACUCUCACAAUGAAAAAAGGACACACUUGCAGCCCAAGGUCGAGGGUGUUGAAUUACAAAGUCAUUUUGGAUAAAGGAGAAACUUGUAUUCACAGGCUCGGAAAAGGAGAGCACAGGGGUAGUGAUAAGGAAUUCGGACAGAGAGGAACCCCAUACUCCGGCUCAGGUACCCAAACCCACAGAACAUGUGAGCCUGUCUAGACACAGGACAGGCAUGCUGCUGAUCUACCCACCCCAGGGGGCACAAGCUCACUGCAAACGAUUCUGCAGGUUCAUCAGCUGACCGAUGAGCAACAGCACCUGGCGGAGUAAUAGUAAGUCAGCUUGUCGAGCAAAGAUGUGUGAAGCACCUGGGAUGUGCUGUGCACUGGGGAUUAAGAGACAACUGAGACCACCCUGUUUUCUAGGAUUUCUUGAUCAAAUUGGGAAGCGAGGUAGGCAUUUAAAAAUAAAAUGAUGACGAACACUUUCAGGGCACUAACAGUGAAGCUUAAAUGUGCUGAUUUGUCUUAGGGUUUUUGAGCACAUAAUGAGAAAGGUACCAUUAUAUCCCUGUAUUUAUUAUUUUUCUCACUGGAACAGAAUGCCUGACACCUGCAAUUCAAAGGAGGAGAGCUCUAUUUGGGCUCGAAUUUAGUGGAUUCGGUCUAUGGUCAGCUGACUCCAAGAGAAAAACAGCAUAGCAAAGGAUAGCUAUUUGCUGCAUGGCAUCUAGGAAGCAACGAGACAGCAGGGAGGAGCUGGAAGAAUAAACACUUCCGGGUCACCACCUCCCAGUGUUCCACCUGCUCUGACCAGGCCCCGCCUGAGAAUAAGCACAAUCAGCCGUGAACUCAUCAGGAAACGAAUCCACGGAGGAAUACAGUGUCCCCGCAGCUCAGUCACCUUCUAAAAGUCCCAACUCUGAGCACAGCCUUUGGGGGGACAUUAUAGAUCUAAGCUAUAGGAACCCCCUCUUUUGGAGAAGAUGAAAUGGGCUCACGAGGAGGUGACUUGUCCCUGCUGCUGAUAUUGGUCGGGCGGGGAGCUAAAAGCCGGCAGCAGAAACAGUGGCUCAGAAGGGCUGGGGAAUGCAUGGUUGCGGAUUCGGCUUGAACUUUGGGGCAGAGGGAAUGGCCAGGUGCAGAGUAAUAUGGGGUUAAACUGCAGAGGGCCUCUGGCCAGCUGAGUCUGGACUGCAGGGGCUAAGCUGUCGAAAGCCAUUGAACAGGGCAGGGACCAGGCAAGGUUUGCUUUAAGAAAGAGACAGGCAGCAGAGGGUCUGGGUGGAAGGGAGAGGAUGUGGGUUCUGAUAUCAUGCUGAUUUAAUGUAAAAAAAUGUUUGAAGCGGGAGAGUUAGUGGCAAUGGAAAAGAAAAGAGGGGUUGGGCGGAUUCAAAAGACAGGAAGUUUACAGAAGUUAGGGAUGAACGGAAAGCUGGAGAGUUUUGUGUCUUGUAGGUCAACUGAGUGAAUAUCCAACAGUACUUCUGCAGAUCUGAGGGAAGGGAAUCAGUCAAGCAAAUGAAGGGAGUGUAAGAUAAGACGUUCCCUUCUCAGCUUAGGACUUUUCUAGGCAUCAGGCACAAAGGAGCAAACCCCAAGUCCUAGCGGAAGGCAUCAGUCUGACUUUUCCAAGUAGCUGCCCUAUACCCUCUGAAAUAAGACCUAGCCAGAAAAUAAACCCUAGCAUGAUUUUUUUCAUGAUGCUCAUAAUAUAAGCCCUACCCCCAAAAUGAGCCCCAGUUAAGAUUCUCAGCAAGACAGAGGC
Long non-coding RNA from Fukomys damarensis (Damara mole-rat), 2260 nucleotides. The record is from Ensembl. NCBI's taxonomy places the organism in Eukaryota, Metazoa, Chordata, Mammalia, Rodentia, Bathyergidae.